This 74-nucleotide transfer RNA is filed under the name Thermoleophilia bacterium. RNAcentral's name for it is "tRNA-Arg". It matches the Rfam family "tRNA". Rfam says of the family: Transfer RNA (tRNA) molecules are approximately 80 nucleotides in length. Their secondary structure includes four short double-helical elements and three loops (D, anti-codon, and T loops). The record is from RNAcentral. RNAcentral also lists the same sequence under 3 other names. Lineage: Bacteria; Bacillati; Actinomycetota; Thermoleophilia.
GCGCCCGUAGCUCAGCUGGAUAGAGCAGCGGACUUCUAAUCCGCCGGUCGCAGGUUCGAAUCCUGCCGGGCGCG